UAGGGAAUCUUCCACAAUGGACGAAAGUCUGAUGGAGCAACGCCGCGUGAGUGAUGAAGGGUUUCGGCUCGUAAAACUCUGUUGUUGGAGAAGAACGGGUGUCAGAGUAACUGUUGACAUCGUGACGGUAUCCAACCAGAAAGCCACGGCUAACUACGUGCCAGCAGCCGCGGUAAUACGUAGGUGGCAAGCGUUGUCCGGAUUUAUUGGGCGUAAAGCGAGCGCAGGCGGUUUUUUAGGUCUGAUGUGAAAGCCUUCGGCUUAACCGGAGAAGUGCAUCGGAAACCGGGAGACUUGAGUGCAGAAGAGGACAGUGGAACUCCAUGUGUAGCGGUGAAAUGCGUAGAUAUAUGGAAGAACACCAGUGGCGAAGGCGGCUGUCUGGUCUGCAACUGGCGCUGAGGCUCGAAAGCAUGGGUAGCGAACAGGAUUAGAUACCCUGGUAGUCCAUGCCGUAAACGAUGAGUGCUAAGUGUUGGAGGGUUUCCGCCCUUCAGUGCUGCAGCUAACGCAUUAAGCACUCCGCCUGGGGGAGUACGACCGCAAGGUUGAAAC
This 555-nucleotide ribosomal RNA is filed under the name uncultured bacterium. RNAcentral's name for it is "partial 16S ribosomal RNA". It matches the Rfam family "Bacterial small subunit ribosomal RNA", at positions 355 to 900 of the family's 1533-position model. The record is from RNAcentral.